GACGAACUGUCCUAACGUUGUUCGGAAUCACUGGGCUUAAAGGGCGCGUAGGCGGUCCGACAAGUCGGGGGUGAAAUCCUGCAGCUUAACUGCAGAAGUGCCUUCGAUACUGUCGGUCUGGAGGGAGAUAGGGGUGUGCGGAACUUCCAGUGGAGCGGUGAAAUGCGUUGAUAUUGGAAGGAACGCCGGAGGCGAAAGCGGCGCACUGGAUCUCUUCUGACGCUGAGGCGCGAAAGCUAGGGGAGCAAACGGG
Molecule: ribosomal RNA, 253 nt
Filed under: uncultured bacterium
Lineage: Bacteria
Description: partial 16S ribosomal RNA
Rfam family: Bacterial small subunit ribosomal RNA
Source: RNAcentral